Molecule: ribosomal RNA, 400 nt
Filed under: uncultured bacterium
Lineage: Bacteria
Description: partial 16S ribosomal RNA
Rfam family: Bacterial small subunit ribosomal RNA
Source: RNAcentral
AAUAUUGCGCAAUGGGGGCAACCCUGACGCAGCGACGCCGCGUGAGUGAUGAAGGCCUUCGGGUUGUAAAACUCUGUCCUCAGGGAAGAAGAAAGUGACGGUACCUGAGGAGGAAGCCCCGGCUAACUACGUGCCAGCAGCCGCGGUAAUACGUAGGGGGCGAGCGUUGUCCGGAAUUAUUGGGCGUAAAGGGUGCGUAGGCGGUUAUUUAAGUCUGAUGUGAAAUCUUGUGGCUUAACCACAAGCGGUCAUUGGAAACUGGAUAACUUGAGUACAGAAGAGGAGAGUGGAAUUCCACGUGUAGCGGUGAAAUGCGUAGAGAUGUGGAGGAACACCAGUGGCGAAGGCGGCUCUCUGGUCUGUAACUGACGCUGAGGUGCGAAAGCGUGGGUAGCGAACA